GGGGAAUAUUGCGCAAUGGGGGGAACCCUGACGCAGCAACGCCGCGUGAGCGACGAAGGCCUUCGGGUCGUAAAGCUCUGUCUAGAGGGAUGAAUUUUGACAGUACCUCUGGAGGAAGCCCCGGCUAACUACGUGCCAGCAGCCGCGGUAAUACGUAGGGGGCAAGCGUUGUCCGGAAUUACUGGGCGUAAAGGGCGCGUAGGCGGUAGGUUAAGUCAGAUGUGAAAGUCCAGGGCUCAACCGUGGAAUUGCAUUUGAAACUGACCUACUUGAGUGCAGGAGAGGAGAGCGGAAUUCCUAGUGUAGCGGUGAAAUGCGUAGAUAUUAGGAAGAACACCAGUGGCGAAGGCGGCUCUCUGGACUGUAACUGACGCUGAGGCGCGAAAGCGUGGGUAGCGAAC
RNAcentral lists this ribosomal RNA (401 nucleotides) under uncultured bacterium. Its description in RNAcentral is "bacterial SSU rRNA". It matches the Rfam family "Bacterial small subunit ribosomal RNA", at positions 356 to 773 of the family's 1533-position model. The record is from RNAcentral.